ACGUCGCGGCGGGCGCUGAGGGGCGAGCGGUCGGCGCGCAGCAGCCGGGGCAGGAGCGCAUGGCUGCGCGGGGAAUCCCAGAGGCCCAGCAGCUGGGGACGGGGCGGCAUGACCACGGACCAGGCUCACCCCCGGCCCUUCAUCCCCGCACCCUCCAGCGCGCCCCGUCCACCCUGCCUAACCCCUGUCCACGCCUCCCCUGCCCCCGGACCCGGCUCUGCCCCCCCACCCCCAGGGCAGUUUGACCAAGCCCCAGGGCAGGUUGACCAAGCCCCAGGGCAGGUUGACCAAGCCCCAGGGCCGGUUGACCCCAUCCCAGACUCACCUCCUCUGGAAUCUGAAAGAAGCAAGAGCAAGGGGCGUCGGGGCAGGGGAGAGGUGGCCGCCGCUCAGGGUCUCCUCCCUGCCCCUUCUCACCUCUGUGCUCUCUCCCUCCUUCUUCGUCCUAUUAGACCCUUAUUGAACCUUUGCCCCGCAGUCCCCGACCCAGGCCCUCGCCGACCCCUCCCCAACUCUUCCUUCCCCAUCUGCGCUCCCAGCGCCUUCUCUGUAUCCUUGGUCCCCUCUGGCCCUUCUAACCCCCAGCCUCUCUCUGUCCCUAACCUCGUCCCUCUGUCUGUCCCUGAGCCCCUCCCUCUCAUUCCCUUAGCUCCCUCUCCCCUCUGAGACCUGGCCCCCCAGCCCUACUAGCCCCCUACUCCCCUCCCAGCGCCGCCCCCUCUUGGCCCUGCUCCUCCACUCCUCCCCUCCUCCCCGAUCCUCUUCAGUCCCACCCCUCCACCACUCCCCCUCUUCCCCCUUGGCCCCGCCCUCCACACCUCCCCUCUUCCCACUGGCCCCGCCCCUCCAUGCCUCCCCCGCUCCUUGGCCCGGCCCCGCCCCUCCACCCUCCGGGUUCCCUCCAGCCUCAGCUUUGCCCAGGACCUCACCUGGAACACGUGGAAGCCAACGGUGAGGCUCCAGCAGCGUUAAACGGAACUGAGGAUUGGUCCAGAAGGUUUCUAAGGGAGGAGGAAAAAAGGGGGUUUCCUAGCCGGCCACAGCGCCCCCCACCCCAGGAAGCCUCUCAGGGCCCCUCAGGCCUCACCAGCAUUAGGCUGGCUCCCGCCGGAGUUGAAGCCACGCACCCAGCGGCCUUGGAAGGUGUGGACGUGCCAGCCGCCCCCCUCCGGGCUGGGGCCCAGCACCUCCGGGCUCAGCGAGCAGAUCUGCACGGUGUCGAAAUGGAGGAGGAAGUCCCGCAGCUCCAUCCUGCACGGUGGCCCAGUCAGACCCUGCCCGGCCCCACCUCGAGGGGGUCCCAAGAUCCCGGAAAUGACUCCCAGAUCCCAAAGCCCCUCACAUUUCUUAAAUAUUGUCAAAUACCCUUCAGGCUCCAGAAAUGAACCCCAAAUGCCUGGGCCUCUAGCUCUGCCAAAUUCCUCCAAGUCCUCAGACAUGCCCCACAAAUCGCCAAGAUUCACAAGCUGCCCCCAAAUAUCGUUAAAUUGCCACCAACCCCCAAAUAGCAAGACCCUCAGACUCUAAAUUACCAACAAGUACCCUUCAGCCCCUCAACAUUGCCAAAUCUCAAGAAAUGCCCCAAAUAUCACCAAGCCUUCCUCCAUUGCCCUAAAUACUGCCCAUCCCUUUCAAUCCUCCACAGAUAACUAGGCCUUCAAAUUCCCCUCAUAUUACUACUUUUUUAAACCCACUCCAAUCAGAGGUUCUCUAAUAUUACUACCAAUUCUUCCUUGAUUUCCCAAAAUAGAACCUGGCCCCAAAAUUACCACCGAUGUACACAGUUUCUCCCUAUUAGGACCCAUCCUUCAACUGGGGCUCGCCCUCCCUGAACCCCUUGGCAGAGACCCUCCCAGAGGCAGAGCUGGGACCCUGACGAACUGACCAGAACUCGCCAUCCUCCUUUUUCACCAGCAGGGCAUCGCGGCACUCGGUGGGGAGUGUGUCCCAGCGUGGGCAGCUGGAGAGACUGUGGUGUGAGGGGCGGGCAGGUGGGGUCCAGCCCCACACCCACCCCAGACCCAUCCCACCUGUCGCUCCAGGCCCCCGUCCACUCCACGCAGCCCCAUGGGUUCCGCAGCCGCAGCAGCCGCACCUUGGUGAAGCCCAGGAACACCUGGGGCAGCAUCGUCAGUGGGGGUGAUGCCUGGACAUGGCCUGCCACCCCACCCAUGGGGGACACUUACCUUGUGUGUGCCCGUGAUGGAAUACGCGUGUCCCUUUACCAGGCCCUCUUCUGUGCGGUACUCACCCCGAUCACUCUGGGCAGGGGAUGGGAUGGUGAGGCCAAGGUAGGGGACAGGAGGGCAGCUGCUCCUCCCUGCCCCCAACCUCCUGCCACCAAGGCAGGAGCCAACCAGAGCACUGAACUGAAUGGCACGCAGCUCAGAGACCAUGUCAGGGUUAGUGACUGAAGGCGAAAGAGAAAAGGAGAGGAAGGGAGAUGGAAACGAGACAAAAGGAGAUGGAGGUACGGGCUCACGCCUGUAAUCCCAGCACUUAGGGAGGUCGAGGUGGAAGGACUACUUGAGGCCAGGAGUCCAAGACCAGCCUGGGCAACAUAGCAAGACCCCAAGUCUACAAAAAUUUUAAAAAUUCAACAGGCGUGGUGGUGCACACCAGUGGUCCCAGCUACUCUGGAGGCUGAGGCAGGAGGAUCCCUUGAGCCCAGAGGUCAAGGCUAUAGUGAGCUAUGAUGACACUACUGCACUCUGGCCUGGGUGACAGAGUGAGAUGAGACCCUGCCUCCAAAAACAAAAACAAACAAAAUAGAUGGAAAGAGGCCUGUUGUGGUGGCUCACACCUGUAAUCCCAGCACUUUGGGAGGCCGAGGCGGGCAGAUCACAAGGUCAGGAGAUUGAGACCAUCCUGGCUAACACAGUGAAACCCCAUCUCUACUAAAAAUACAAAAAACUAGCUGGGCAUGGUGGCGGGCGCCUGUAGUCCCAGCUACUCGGGAGGCAAAGCAGGAGAAUUGCUUGAACUUGGGUGACAGAGGUUACAGUGAGCCAAGGUCGUGCCACUGCACUCCAGCCUGGGUGACAGAGCAAGAUUCCGUCUCAAAAAAAAAAAAAAAAAAAAAAAAGAUGGAAAGAGUAGAGAGACAGAGACAGAGACAAAGAAAGAUACAGAAGAGAGAAACAGACACAAAAGAAAAAGAGAAGCAGUAACUCAGAGGAUUUAAGUAAAUGAAUGAGUGAAGGAGUUAGACCAACUCAGUGAAUGAAUGAGUGUGUCAUGGGGUCACAGAUGAACACAUGACCCAAGCUAAGCCCACGAGAAUCAAUCCUGGGACUUUUACUGAAAUUCUCAGAAAGAGGCACUUUUUUUUUUUUUUUUUAAAUAAACCCUAGGGUGGUAGGAGAUACCUGCAGCUAUGGGGGAUCCUUUUAUGCCCAUGAGGGGAGAGCCUGGCUGAGAGUGACACUAACACAGAAUGAGAAAUAAACAUAGUUGCAACACCCUCA
This is a long non-coding RNA of Homo sapiens (human), 3467 nucleotides long. RefSeq lists it as uncharacterized. The transcript is spliced from 2 exons. Lineage: Eukaryota; Metazoa; Chordata; Mammalia; Primates; Hominidae. The record is from RefSeq and is a predicted model, not a curated record.